GUGGGGAAUAUUGGACAAUGGGCGAAAGCCUGAUCCAGCCAUGCCGCGUGUGUGAAGAAGGUCUUCGGAUUGUAAAGCACUUUAAGUUGGGAGGAAGGGCAGUAAGUUAAUACCUUGCUGUUUUGACGUUACCGACAGAAUAAGCACCGGCUAACUUCGUGCCAGCAGCCGCGGUAAUACGAAGGGUGCAAGCGUUAAUCGGAAUUACUGGGCGUAAAGCGCGCGUAGGUGGUUUUGUAAGUUGGAGGUGAAAUCCCCGGGCUCAACCUGGGAACUGGCUCCAGAACUGCAUGACUAGAGUACGGUAGAGGGUAGUGGAAUUUCCUGUGUAGCGGUGAAAUGCGUAGAUAUAGGAAGGAACACCAGUGGCGAAGGCGACUACCUGGACUGAUACUGACACUGAGGUGCGAAAGCGUGGGGAGCAAACAGGAUUAGAUACCCGUGUAGUCC
RNAcentral lists this ribosomal RNA (450 nucleotides) under uncultured bacterium. RNAcentral's name for it is "partial 16S ribosomal RNA". It matches the Rfam family "Bacterial small subunit ribosomal RNA", at positions 354 to 796 of the family's 1533-position model. The record is from RNAcentral.